UUAAUUAUUUUGUCUGCUCCAGAGUUUUUUGUUUGUUGCUUGCAUCAUCUAAACUGUUUUUGUUCAGAAAUCAUGCAGGCAUCAAAAUUUUAGUCAAGUUCUGCAAUGGUGGACGAUUAUAUGCAUCUCUUUAUGAUAAUGUUUCUGGACAUUCUCAGCUUUAUGUGGAGUCGGAGAAAUGUAUUGGGAAUUUGAAGUGGCUUUGGUUCCAUGGUGAGGUGUCAGUUAUUGGUGUACAAUGCAUGGGGUGUGGAUUGAAAUCAGUUCUUGCAUUGAAUAUCUACAACGAUCCUCAAAUUAAAGGUGUGAAUGCUUUAGUCUAAUUUCUGAAAUGGUGGAUGAUACAAUGUGCUCUCAUGAUGACAAUGUUUCUGGAAAGUCUCAGUUUUAUGUUUGGUUGGAGAAAUGUAUUGAGGAUUUGAAGGGCUUUUGUUCCAUAGGAAGGUGUUGGCAGUUAGUGUGCAUUGUCUGGAAGAUGAUGGGAAGACUUCUCUCACAUUGGAUCAAUGCAAUGAUCCAAAUUAAAGGUCUAGAAUGGUUGAUGAGUACAAGGAUUCUCAUGAUGAUAAUGUUCCUGCAGAAUCUCUGUUUUGUGUUGGGUUGAAGAAAUGUAUUUAGAUUUGGUGUUUUUGUUCCACAGCGAGGUGUCCAUUGUUGGUGUGCAAUGUAUGUGCAUUGUGAAGUGGUGAGAAAACCGCUCACAUGCACAUUCAAUUUCUACAAUGAUCAUGAAAUUAAAGGUGAAAUGGCGGUUCCUUCAAAUUGUUCUGUUUCUAAAUUGUGUUUAUCAGAGAGAAGGUCACUCAGUUUCAAAUUUUUAGUUCCUCAUAACUGUCAAGAUUAAGGGACUGUUCCUCUGUAUGUGAGGUAUUCCCUCUUAUUUGUUUUUGUCUUGUUUUUGGGUGGGCUAACCCAAGGAUAUCAUGUAAAUGCGAUUAUUUAUCUUAUUUACAGUUGUUUUCUGGUUGCAUUUAUUAUAUCAACUGGUUUUGCUCAGAAAUCUUGUAGGCCUGGAUAUUCUAGUGUAAGUUCUCAAAUUGUUUUUCCUGAAAAGUGUCAGUUUUAUAUGGGGCUGGAGAAAUGUACUGAGGAUAUGAAGGGGCUUUUGUUCUACAGUGAGGUGUCGUCAUUGGUGUGCAUUGUAUGGGAGGUUGUGGGAAAUCAACUCUCAGAUUGAAUUUUUAUAGUGACCCUCAAAUCAAAGGUGAAGUGGUUGUCCCCUCAAUUUUUUUUUGUUCUAAGUCGUCUUUACCAGAGAGAAGAGCACCCAUUUUCAAAUUUUAGGUCAUCAUAACUGUCAGGAUUAAGGGCUCUGUUCCACUGUAUGUGAGAUAUUCCAUCUUCUUUAUUUCUGACUUAUUUUUGGGUGGCUUAUUCCACGGAUUUCAUAUAAACUCAAUCAUUUACCUGCUCCAGAUUUAUUUUUUGUUUGCACCUAUUGCGUGAAUUGGUUUUGCUCAGAAAUCAUGCAGGCCUGGAUAUUCUAGUCUAAGUUCUCAAAUUAUUUUUCCUGAAAAGUCUCGGUUUUAUAUGGGGCUGGAUAAAUGUACUGAGGAUAUGAAGGGGUUUUUGUUCCACAGUGAGGUGUCGUCAUUGGUGUGCAUUGUAUGGGAGGUGGUGGGAAAUCAACUCUCAGAUUGAAUUUUUACAGUGACCCUCAAAUUAAAGGUGAAGUGGUUGUUCCCUCAAUUUCUGCGUUUCUAAGUCGUCUUUACCAGAGAGAAGUUCAACCAGCUCCAAACUUUAGGUCAUCAUAACUGUCAGGAUUUUAAGGGCUCUGUUCCGCUGUAUGUGAGAUAUUCCUUCUUUAUUUCUGACUUAUUUUUGGGUGGCUUAUUCCAUGGAUUUCAUAUAAACUCAAUCAUUUACCUGCUCCAGAUUUAUUUUUUGUUUGCACCUAUUGCCUGAUUUGGUUUUGUUCAGAAAUCACGCCUAUGUGAAUACUCUAGUCUAAAUUCUGAAAUGGUGGAUGAUUCCCUGCAUUCUCAUGAUGAUAAUGCUCCUGGAAAGUCUCAGAUUGAUGUGGUGUUGGGGAAGGAUAUUGCGGAUUUGAAGAGGCCUUGGUACCACAGCGAGGUGUUGGUAGUUGGCGUGCAAUGUAAAAUGGUGGUUAACUCAAUUUUUUUCGGUUUCUAAAUUAUCUUUACCAGAGAGAAGGUCACCCUGUUUCAAACUGUUUAGGUCCUCAUAACUGUCAAUAUUAAGGAGCCGUUCCUCUGUGUGUGAGCCUGUGAGGUAUUCCCUCUUAUUUGCUUGUCUUGUUGAGGGGUGACUUAUCUUAUGGAUGACAUAUAAAUUCAAUUAUUUAUUUGUUCCAGAGUUUUUUGGUUGCAUAUAAUGUCUGAACUGGUUUUGUCAAGAAAUCAUGCAGGCACGAAUAUUCUAGUGUAAGUUUAUGAUUUCCAUGCACUUUCAUGAUGAAAACGUUUCUGGAAAGUCUCAGUUUUAUGCGAGGCUGGAGAAAUGUAUUGAGAAUUUGAAGGGGCUUUUUGUUCCAUGGUAAGAUGUCGGUUGUUGGUCUCCAUUGUAUGGAGGUGAUGGAAAAACAACUCUCACAUCGAAUCUCUACAAUUACCCUCAAAUUAAAGGUGGGAUGAUGAUUCCCUCAAUUUUUCGUGUUUCUAAGUUGUCUUUACCAGAGAGAAAGCCACCCUAUUUCAAAUUUUUAGGUCCUUGUCACUGUCAACUGUCAAGAUUAAGGGUUAUGUUCCUCCGUUCGUGAGGUAUUCCCUCUUAUUUGUUUGUCUUGUUUUUGGGUGGCCUAUCCCAUGGACAUCAUAUGAAUUCAAUCAAUUAUCUGUUUCAGAGUUGUUUCUUGGUUUCAUCAAUUGUCCAAACUGGUUUUGUUCAGAAAUAAUGCAGGCAUGAAUACUCUAGUAAGUUCUGAAAUGGUGGAUCAUUCCACACAUUUUCAUGGUGACAAUGUUCCUGGAAAGUUUCAAUUUCGCGUGGAGAUAGAGAAAUUAAUUGGGCAUUUGAAGGGGCUUUUGUUCCACAGUGAAGUGUCGGUUGUUGGUGUGCAACAUAUGGGAGGUGGUGGGAAAUCACAUUGAAUCUCUACAAUAAUCCUCAAAUUAAACGUGAAAUGGUGGUUCCCUCAAUUUUGUUUUGUUAUUAUCUUAACCAAAGAGAAGAUCACCAUAUUUCAAAAUUUUAGGUCAUCUUAUCUGUCAAGA
Cryptomeria japonica (Japanese cedar) is the source of this 3176-nucleotide long non-coding RNA. RefSeq lists it as uncharacterized. The transcript has 3 exons. The record is from RefSeq and is a predicted model, not a curated record. Lineage: Eukaryota; Viridiplantae; Streptophyta; Pinopsida; Cupressales; Cupressaceae.